AUUGAUUUGUCAAAUCAUUUUUAUUAGCCUAUUUAAAUAAGCGGUUGCUUAAUUGACACAAAUAUGAGUUUAUGAUUGAGUGAUAGUAGGGCUUUUUUAACCUUUAUUUAUCAUUUUUAUAAUAAAUCGCGUGGGUAUGACCACACCCCGGUGACAAGUGCGUUAGCCUCGACUAGCCGGCUAAGCUAACAGCUGGUUUAUUUACUUAUCUCAUUUAUUUAAGAACUGACUGCGGACUGGGGAGGUUUUAAUAAAUCGUUACCUCAUCUCCAGAGUUAAACUCCUCCAUCGUUAUUGUCGUAGAAACACCUCCUGUCUUCUAUAUUUCCUCUUUUGUUAUUGUUCCUGUUUAGCUCCUCUUCCUGAGAGACAACGAGCACAAACAAGACGAAUCUACGGCCGGAAACUGGGCGUCGAUUCUUACUUUGUCGCCCCACUGUGGUUGAAUUUAGACACGACAAGGCCAAACCAGGCCACUCACAUUUUGUCUUUCUUUGUGAUGAUUUUGAGAAUCUUAAGAGUCAUUCCGAUUAAUUUUUUGUCGUGAUAAUUUGUGUCUUUGGGGUCAUUUUGAGCAUUUUAUGAUCUAUUUUUUUUUUCGACUUGGACAGACACUAUUUGUAUUUUUAUGUAAUUUCCAUGCAAUGGCUCAGGAUAUUAUAUACAGUAUAUAUACAGUGUAUGAUUUUAAAUUAAAUUUAAAUAAAUUUAUUGCAUAGUACUGUUUAUAGGGAAAAAGAUUGCACAACAACAGCACAGAGGUGAAAGUGGAGCAGUCCUGAGUGGAAGUGUGUGGCUGAGGAGGAUGGAAAGUUCAGGAGUCUUAUGGCAUGCUGUUAUUAACAGACACUGUCAUUGAAUCUGUUUUUCUCCGUAGGCUGUGGAACCGCCUUUAGGGUAUCUGGGGACAGUCCCCUGUUUGUGGAUGACCUGUCCCUGAAAAUAUCCCAGAUUUUAGCUUUUAAUUAAUGAGAAAAAAACAAAUGUUGCGUGCCAACUAUAACAGCAGUUAUUACAGCAGUCACUCACGCUGCUAUUUACAUUAUAGACAUAGCAGUUUAAAUAUGUGAAAAUAAAUAAAACCAUAAUUGCGUUUCUUCAUUUCAUCUUGAUAACACUUAAUUCUUUUUAAUUCCCCAUCUGUAAAUGUCACUGGAUCUCCUUUCAGAAAUGUGGUCACCUUAGUUUAUUUUUUAUUAAUAUUUAUUUUAUUUUUUGGGGGACUCAAAUCUAUGCAUAUAGCUAUUUAUUUUUCAUUGAGAGAUACACAGGACAUUAACAAAUUAACAUACAUACACACUUAACUUAUUCAUUCAAGCUACCCAGUUACAUAUUCAUUUUUUCUUCCAAACUAUUAAAUAAAUGACAGUAGGGAAUUCCAUAAUACAUAAUGUAUAACCCGUUCCUGUAAACCCUUGUGGAGCCCAGUACUACAGUGAGAUCUGUGUUCCUGGACAUAUUUCUCCUUUAAUUGUGUUGUUUAGUCAAUAUAACAUUCAAAUGAUAAGAUAAAACGAUAAAAUGGCUGUUGCUUUGGCAGUAAUGCUUGUUUUGCAGUUCUCUUGGAGGUGUUCUUACAACAAGCUGCAGAAACGAUCUUCCCCCAUGAUGAAGGGAUCAGAUAUUUUCCCCAAGGCUCAUCAGUUGAUACCCUCAAAUAUAUUUGGCAGCAAAGAGAGGCCAGGGGGACGUCUCAACACCCCCUCUCUGAGGCACUCGGGGAGAGUGUGUGUAUUUAUUUCUCGCAGCUGUUUCUUUCAUUCAUUUUGCAUGUGAGAUAAAAAAAACAACAACAACCAUAUUAUCGUUUUAUGAUGUGACAGACUGACAAAUACUGUUAGUCAUGAUGGAAGUGGUGCAGUGAGAUGCUAUUAAAAUGAAUUCACGACCUAAAAUACACCGCAGCGAGUUUCUCGUCACAGUCGAUGGCGUAGUGCAUGCUGCGUUUAAAACCAAAAUCAAUCACAAUCAGUGUAGUUUAGUACAUUUCCUUGCAUUUGUUGGAUCCGACGGUAGGGGGUGAUAUUUUAGUUUGUCAAACUUUAUAAAACUUUAUAGUGACUGACUGUUUUAAUAUGCACAUCUCAUUUAAGGUAUCUGUGUUCAAACCUAGCAUUAAAAUGGUCUCUUGAGCCACCAUUCGAUCACUCAGUAUGCAAAUGAAUAGCCACAUCAUUUGGGGUGCAAUAGAGUAUUAUAAAAACUGCCCUCUUUAAUAGAUCGUUACCUAACGUUGUUUCAGAACCACGAACAGGGCUGUUUGUUGUGUGUUGUCACGUUUAAUCAAGUACCAGAUGAGUCACAAUCACACUAGUAAAUCCUCAGCUAUGCAGAGCUGUAGCAUUGUGAGAUGAACGUGUCAAUGGGUCCUUCAUGUGUUACUUCAUCACUUUGACAGACGACAGCACUAAUAGGUGCCAGCAUCUCUGGAAGCUUCCCCUUAAAUCCAGUGUGCAUGGUUUGGCUCUGAGAUGCACUGUCAGCUGUUCAAGUGUUUCACAUUGUUUGGGCAACCCAAUAGUAUGAAUGCAGUGCCAACAAAUUAAAUGGCCAAUAUUGGUCAUUAUUAUGACAAAGUGACUAUGACAAAGUGACAAUGUUUAUGGUGCAAUCUGGUACAAAAAAAAUAUUCAGAGCUUAUCAUAAAUUUUACAGCAUCAUCUAUCUCAGCUGCCAUUGGGCUAGAGAUGAGGUUCACCCUGGGCAGGUCACUAGUCUUUUACAGGGUUAACACAAAGAGAGGCUAGCAUUCAUAUCUUUGGAAAGUAGAAAGCCAAAGCAAGCAUGCAAACUAUGCACCGAAAGACCUCAACUCGCUGCACCACUGCAGAGCCCUAGAGCUGAGCAUGGUGAGUGACAUGAAAGAUGAUGAGUCAAGAACAGUAACAGUAUAAUAGACAAUACACUUUGUAAAACUGAGCAUGGCAGUAGAUAUAUUUUAAUUUGACCUAUUUUUUUUUAUUUUGUAUACUUCACCAAACUAUUAAACCAGUACACAUAUUAUAAUAUUUAUUAUCCACUAGUGUACAGUCCAAGUGUCAAACAUUUUCCCUCCAGGUCCAUAAAUAUUAAACAAUCCUUUUGUAUCUUUAUGACUCAUUCAGUUAUUACAUUUAACAUGUCAGCUUAGCUUUAAGUUGUAUGAUUUUUUUUUUUUUUAACAUGUUUUGAGAGUAGCUUCCAAGCACGUGUCCACUAAUUUAUAACAGACACAUUUGCAUGGCUUACUUUAAGCGCUAUUUCAUUACGAUACAUGUCUGUCGCCUACUUGUAAUGUUAAUCUUACUGGAACGCGACAUGGCGCUGACUGUGGUCUUGGAGGAGCAUGUGGAUGUAACUGGCAUACAGUUGCAAGACAGGCACACAUCCCAGAUGUCCAAAAUAAAAUGAAGACUGAGUGCCAUUACAUAAAAUCUGAUGAGGGAUAAUAUUUAUCUUGGAAAAGAAUGGACAGCACAUUGCCAUCUAGGCUGGGAUAAAACCCAAAAUAAGUCCUGGGUCAACAAACGUGACGUAAGAGAUGCCUGAACAGUAAUAGCAGCAUGAAUGAAAAUCCAAUCUAGUAGUAGUGGGAGUUAGAAUUUAUUGAGUGAGCAAUUGAAAGUGGAUAGUACUUUCAUUCAGUCUAAAUAACAAGUGUUCAGUGUGAUAUUCAGGUUAUGGUCUUUGUAUGUCAUAAGUCAACAAACCUUGUUAUACAUAAAUAGAUUACACACCAUUUUUGCAGAGGGAGAUGACUGUGACAUUAGCUCAAGAUUAGUACAAUUUAUUAGUAUCAACACAUCAAAUAAAAUCUGUCCUUUUAUCUGUGUUCUUUUGACAGCAUGUUUUUAACAUUUUAUUUUCUAAAGCUCAGUCUGAGGCCACAAAUGGACAACCAGUUAGAGUACAAUGUGUGCACAAAUUGCAUCGACUCCAGGGUCCAACAACAACACCUUUACCUCUGGCCACUUCCUGAUUGCAACAAUAAUAGUGAUUUUGAAUUUUAGUGGUCACUUUACAUGUGCCACAUUAAAAACAUGAUAUGUUUUUGGAAGAAAAUAAGUUAAAGAAGUUGGCUGCAACCUCUGUCUCUCAUUGAUCAGGAGCUUCUUGACAGCCUUGUACGACCUUAAGCCAUGAUCUAAAAGUCAACCACGUACAGUGCAGGUGGAACACUGGACACCAGUUUGAUUUGACCACUGCUGUUGGAGCUCCUGUGAUGUCAUUCAGCGUUUUUUCCCUGCAUAUGCAGAUCAGGAUGUGGCCAUUUCUUGCAGAAGAAACCCUUGGAUGCCCAGAUCUUGGUUUGUCUUCCAAGCUGCUGGUUCGUCUGUAUUUCUGCAGAGUGUAUCCAACUGCUGAUGUACUGCAUCUUCACUUCCUGGUGAUCUGGUGGCAGCUGUACCAUACCUGGCUGAGAAUCUGUAUAUUCAGGAUCUAAUUGAGGAGCUAGAAGAUACAGUCACCACCUGAGCCUUGCUACCAGACAGGCUGCUGAAGCUCAGAAACAACUCAGAGAUGUCAAGGGACAGAAUCAUUUAAAUUACAAACUAAAAGUCUAAAUAAUACUGAAGGUUUACUGUUUUGGUUUGAUUUGUUGUCAGGAUGCAAGAAAUGCUGAGGAGAAAGCCAAGAAGGCCAUCAAUGAGUUUACAUCCCAAUAGCUGUGUAAUGUGUUUUUCUUGUAUGUUUUCAAUAAAGUGUGGUUACAAAACAGUUA
Mugil cephalus (flathead mullet) is the source of this 4702-nucleotide long non-coding RNA. RefSeq lists it as uncharacterized. The record is from RefSeq and is a predicted model, not a curated record. Lineage: Eukaryota; Metazoa; Chordata; Actinopteri; Mugiliformes; Mugilidae. The transcript has 2 exons.